Molecule: ribosomal RNA, 1095 nt
Filed under: Serratia marcescens
Lineage: Bacteria; Pseudomonadati; Pseudomonadota; Gammaproteobacteria; Enterobacterales; Yersiniaceae
Description: partial 23S ribosomal RNA
Rfam family: Bacterial large subunit ribosomal RNA
Source: RNAcentral
GGACACGUGACAUCCUGUCUGAAUAUGGGGGGACCAUCCUCCAAGGCUAAAUACUCCUGACUGACCGAUAGUGAACCAGUACCGUGAGGGAAAGGCGAAAAGAACCCCGGCGAGGGGAGUGAAAUAGAACCUGAAACCGUGUACGUACAAGCAGUGGGAGCACCUUCGUGGUGUGACUGCGUACCUUUUGUAUAAUGGGUCAGCGACUUAUAUUUUGUAGCAAGGUUAACCGUAUAGGGGAGCCGUAGGGAAACCGAGUCUUAACUGGGCGAAUAGUUGCAAGGUAUAGACCCGAAACCCGGUGAUCUAGCCAUGGGCAGGUUGAAGGUUGGGUAACACUAACUGGAGGACCGAACCGACUAAUGUUGAAAAAUUAGCGGAUGACUUGUGGCUGGGGGUGAAAGGCCAAUCAAACCGGGAGAUAGCUGGUUCUCCCCGAAAGCUAUUUAGGUAGCGCCUCGUGAACUCAUCUUCGGGGGUAGAGCACUGUUUCGGCUAGGGGGCCAUCCCGGCUUACCAAACCGAUGCAAACUCCGAAUACCGAAGAAUGUUAUCACGGGAGACACACGGCGGGUGCUAACGUCCGUCGUGAAGAGGGAAACAACCCAGACCGCCAGCUAAGGUCCCAAAGUCAUGGUUAAGUGGGAAACGAUGUGGGAAGGCAUAGACAGCCAGGAUGUUGGCUUAGAAGCAGCCAUCAUUUAAAGAAAGCGUAAUAGCUCACUGGUCGAGUCGGCCUGCGCGGAAGAUGUAACGGGGCUAAACCAUGCACCGAAGCUGCGGCAGCGACGCUUAGGCGUUGUUGGGUAGGGGAGCGUUCUGUAAGCCGUUGAAGGUGGCCUGUGAGGGUUGCUGGAGGUAUCAGAAGUGCGAAUGCUGACAUAAGUAACGAUAAAGCGGGUGAAAAGCCCGCUCGCCGGAAGACCAAGGGUUCCUGUCCAACGUUAAUCGGGGCAGGGUGAGUCGACCCCUAAGGCGAGGCUGAAAAGCGUAGUCGAUGGGAAACAGGUUAAUAUUCCUGUACUUGGUGUUACUGCGAAGGGGGGACGGAGAAGGCUAGGCUAGCCGGGCGACGGUUGUCCCGGUUUAAGCGUG